This 183-nucleotide ribosomal RNA is filed under the name Mesorhizobium sp. RNAcentral's name for it is "partial 23S ribosomal RNA". It matches the Rfam family "Bacterial large subunit ribosomal RNA", at positions 2765 to 2925 of the family's 2925-position model. Lineage: Bacteria; Pseudomonadati; Pseudomonadota; Alphaproteobacteria; Hyphomicrobiales; Phyllobacteriaceae. The record is from RNAcentral.
UAACCGCUGAAAGCAUCUAAGCGGGAAACUUGCCUCAAGAUGAGAUCUCACUGGAACCUUGAGUUCCCUAAAGGGCCGUCGAAGACUACGACGUUGAUAGGCUGGGUGUGUAAGCGUUGUGAGGCGUUGAGCUAACCAGUACUAAUUGCCCGUGAGGCUUGACCAUAUAACACCCAAACAAUU